UGGGGAAUCUUGCGCAAUGGGCGAAAGCCUGACGCAGCGACGCCGCGUGGGGGAGGAAGGUUUUCGGAUCGUAAACCCCUGUUGCCCGGGACGAAUCCCUGGUUUAGACCAGGUUGACGGUACCGGGUGAGGAAGCACCGGCUAACUCCGUGCCAGCAGCCGCGGUAAUACGGAGGGUGCGAGCGUUGUCCGGAAUCACUGGGCGUAAAGGGCGCGUAGGUGGCUUGGUAAGCGUGUGGUGAAAGCCUGGGGCUCAACCCCGGGUCGGCCAUGCGAACUGCCGAGCUUGAGCACUGUAGAGGCAGACGGAAUUCCGGGUGUAGCGGUGGAAUGCGUAGAGAUCCGGAAGAACACCGGUGGCGAAGGCGGUCUGCUGGGCAGUUGCUGACACUGAGGCGCGACAGCGUGGGGAGCAAACAGG
This 421-nucleotide ribosomal RNA is filed under the name uncultured bacterium. Its description in RNAcentral is "bacterial SSU rRNA". It matches the Rfam family "Bacterial small subunit ribosomal RNA", at positions 355 to 776 of the family's 1533-position model. The record is from RNAcentral.